Long non-coding RNA from Limulus polyphemus (Atlantic horseshoe crab), 840 nucleotides. RefSeq lists it as uncharacterized. The transcript is spliced from 2 exons. NCBI's taxonomy places the organism in Eukaryota, Metazoa, Arthropoda, Merostomata, Xiphosura, Limulidae. The record is from RefSeq and is a predicted model, not a curated record.
AGUUUCUCGUGAAUUUGUACUUCUGGCAUUUUUAGCUGUCUCGGCGUGCUGUUGGCUUGCACAAGGACGCUACCUACCGACGAGAUUUGACGAAACAAGAAAAGAAGAAAUUAAGAACGUUCUUCAAAUGUUGUUUGAACUUAACCACUUGGAUGAAGAGGGAUACAACAGACAACAAAGGCAGCAUGACUACAAGCUCCCCCUACCGACCUUAAAACGUUCUAUAUCCAGCGGCUUCAACCAAAAGUAAUUUCGCCAUCUGUCGACGACAGCCGUUAUUAAUAAGCAAAUUUGGAUUAUUAAUUUCAAUUUGCCUUUUCGUAGCUUAACAUUAAAAUAAUUCAACCAGCUAUAAUCGUACGAUAAAUUUCAGAAAAUUGUAUUAUGUAAAACCAAAUACUAAUUAUUGUAAUCAAUGACCAUAAUUUAAAACCAGUCAUUAAUCUACAAGUCUCUGAAACAGCUUAUUAGGCUAUAUAUUUAAAUAUUAUUACAUUUCCUUAAAAUAUUUAUUUUUUAAUUUCUCUAAAUGCCAAACCAUGGACCUAACAUACUUUUAAACAAUAUAUUUUGAUUAAUUUAAAACCAGGCUUAAAAUGUUUGACAAACCUUCGGACCACUAAAUAAGAAAUACGUACUACAUAGACGCCCUCUAUUUUCUCCUGCAAAUUAACAAUAAAUGUAGAUUAAUGACAAUCGGACCACCAGAAUCCAUUACCUUCAUUGUUUUCAAAUGUAAUCAACCCUUCAAAUUUCUGUUAUUACUGCAAUGACUUAAACAUGUAAAAUAAUUGUGUAUGAAGUUUACGUGUGAAUAAAAUAUGUUUAUUUGAAAAGAAA